AUGGAUUGGUGCCUUCGGGAACUGUGAGACAGGUGCUGCAUGGCUGUCGUCAGCUCGUGUUGUGAAAUGUUGGGUUAAGUCCCGCAACGAGCGCAACCCUUAUCCUUUGUUGCCAGCGGUCCGGCCGGGAACUCAAAGGAGACUGCCAGUGAUAAACUGGAGGAAGGUGGGGAUGACGUCAAGUCAUCAUGGCCCUUACGACCAGGGCUACACACGUGCUACAAUGGCGCAUACAAAGAGAAGCGACCUCGCGAGAGCAAGCGGACCUCAUAAAGUGCGUCGUAGUCCGGAUUGGAGUCUGCAACUCGACUCCAUGAAGUCGGAAUCGCUAGUAAUCGUGGAUCAGAAUGCCACGGUGAAUACGUUCCCGGGCCUUGUACACACCGCCUGUCACACCAUAGGAGUGGGUUGCAAAAGAAGUAGGUAGCUUAACCUUCGGGAGGGCGCUUACCACUUUGUGAUUCAUGACUGGGGUGAAGUCGUAACAAGGUAACCGUAGGGGAACCUGCGGCUGGAUCACCUC
Molecule: ribosomal RNA, 523 nt
Filed under: uncultured bacterium
Lineage: Bacteria
Description: bacterial SSU rRNA
Rfam family: Bacterial small subunit ribosomal RNA
Source: RNAcentral